UUUGAUGGUGAUAUUGUAAUUACAACAAAAUGCACUAAUCGCCCUUUGCAUCUUAUAAACUGAGCAUGCAGACUUGCAGGGCACCUUUGCAUGUCUAUGAACGAUGGUCGGCCUCUCUCCACAUAAGCCAGCUACCUCGAUCUUGAUGCGCUCAUCUGUUCCAAGUUGGUUGGUGUGCUGCUCAACUUGUUGGACUUCAGUGAGACCGGGUGACAGUUGCAUCUCAAUUCAACUCAUCUUCAAGUUGGACGACAUACAGAGUCCGAGUUCCUCGACCAUGGUCAGCCCGGAUGUUUGAUCAUUUGGAUAAUCUCCAUGUCACAUUAAUGCUUGACGAGUGAUGCUGCCCAAGUUGGGUGGCCGUGAAUUGCACCCUAGUUGCUCUACACUGCCCUGCUAUGCGACCUCUUCUGAUCUGAAAUGUGAGUCCGACUUCAAGCACGACUUCAACUCAAGCCGUGUCUGACUUUGAGAAUAGGUCCGAAUUCGAGCACGCGUUCAAUUCCUGAGCGUGAGUUCGUCCUUAUGCCCCAGUCCUACUUGAAGCACGCAUCCGACUCAAGGACCCAUAUCCGAGCUGGUUGACACACUUGUUUUUCCAUUGAGCUGCUUAAUCUGAAUAUUACGAUCUGAGAUGUGAGCAAAUCGACAGUUUUGUGAACGAAAACCUCAUAUUAUCUUGUAGAGUUAACUACGAUGCACCGACAAAUACGAUCCCGAAGCUAAAUUCAUAUAAUUUGCUUGAGCCUUCCACCGACCAGCUAUGGCCGAGCAAUUGAAGUCUUCUAGCUGAAGUUCUUUAUCGACCUCUUAUGAAUGGAACGAUCAGUGCAGUGUGCCUUAAGUGCACGAUCAGUUCAGCCCUACCUUGCUCCUCUCUGUCUGCCUUGCAUUUGGCCGACCUGUUCGAAUUGCUUAGUUUGCCAUCAUAGUUGUGAUGCUUGGUUGGACCGACCAUUUCUGCAUAUAGACUUGCUCGAUUUGGCUCUUCAAGGAGCUCAUCCUCCGAACUUAACAUCCCGGCUGAUAAAUCUUUUUUCCUCUGGGCUCCCUGAUGGGUCUGGUUUUCUUCUUGGUCCAUCAUAUGGGUCCAUCAAAUGGGUUUCUCAAUGUUCUAUUUGACGAAGAGGCCUGCAAAAUGGAAAAAAUGAUCAGGGGUCUACCGGGGAUGCCCCCGGUGGAGACCCUCCGACGUUUAAGUCAGAUUUUAUGGAUUGGAGGAGUAUAUUUAGGCAAGAGUUGCCGAGAGAAAAAUAAAAAUGGAGUUUAGGAAGAAGAAGGAAAAAGAGAGAAGAAGAGAGAGAGCCCCUUUCUCUCUACCCGUGAUGUAUACCUGUCCCUCUGCCACAGUGCUAGCUGUCUCUGUUACCCAGCUCCGUACGUACGGAUAUGUCAGGCACCUGCUCCAUGCGUAGCGGCCAUUUAAUUCCCCUCAGUACGCGUGUAAGCAAGUCUGCUGGAUAUGUGGGCCGGACAUCCCUUCUCAUUGAACCCGGACUCAUGAUGGACCCGGCCUCAUAGCGAACCCAGUCUACCCCGCGUCUCCGGAUCGGGGCUUGAGAGGCUGGAUCGAUCUUGCUUAAGGAGGGCUUGAUGGGCUUUGGGCUGUUGUUCUCCUCUUGGGCCCGGUCUUGCUCAGGGCAAAGGAAACCCGACGGUCAUGAAUUGCCCCUUUACCUCCUCGGCAGUUAUUACAUGAGUGGCGAGGAGGUAAAUCCUUGAAUUCUAUAUAUGACCGCAUGGCCUGAGAAUAGCUACUGUCAAAAGCAUUUUUUCCUUGCCUUUUUAUUUCUUUGUCUUUCUAUUUUGAUGUUUGAAUGUAUGGCGAUCUGGAGAUGUGUAUUUGAUGAUGAAUGAUAUUUCACCUCGGCCUGUGCCUCAUCAUUAUUUUCUACUCAGACUCUCUUCUGGCUUUGUCAAUUUUACUUACUUGAUGGACCAGGCCGGCUCUACGGGGACUUUGCUAGUCGAACUGACCCGGAUUAAGAGCUCGGAGUCCAAUUAAGCUUCUGACUUGAGGGUUUUUCUUUUUUCCAUGAGGGCAUUUCUGUCUUUGGCUCAUGACCUUGUCAGUACUGCGAGCUCGGAUGUAUAAUACCUAUAGAAAUAUCUUAUUUGCAAGAGUGCCCCAUAUUAGACGAUUUUAACUCUCGUUCUUGUUAUGGGCUCGGAUAUCUGGUUUCUCUUGAUGUGACCUUCUGGCAGUCAGUGCGGUCUAAGCCGUGUGCUCCACUGGGAUAGGGAGCUCGGCCUUUCGUCAUUUUCCUCUGCCAGGGCCAUCUUUGCUAAGUGUUUGCUUGCUGUGAGUUAAAUACGAGAUGUGAGCAGGGUCUCUCGCUUUCAUUUAGUCCUUUGUGUUUUUCUGCAUUUGCAGGCCUUUUCAUGUAGGGAGCUCGGCUCUCUGGUAUGUCCUCUAUGCUCAGCUUUAUUCAGCUUGGUUGUUUACUUGUCGUGAGUCCAUCCAGACUGCGGAUUAAGGAGCUCGGAUUUUUGUUCUUUGCUUAGGCUUUUACGCCUAUGACCUGUGAUACUGCCUGUGCUACGGGCUCAGGAGUUCGGAAUUUCUCCUUCCUCACUUUGGUGCCCCGAGCUCUUCUGUGAAGUCAGACUUAAUUUCUUGUUUUCUUGUCGAGCCUUAUUCGGGCUAUGUUUCAGUCUAACUGCUUGUUUGUUCGGUUUUAACUCUUCUUUUUUGCCCCCGAGUGUUUUUCGGGCUGCCUACCCUCGAGCGUUUUGCGGGCUCUUUGCUGUUUAGACCUCUCUCUAGGCUAGUUGAGCUGGUUUAGUGCUAGCGGUCAAUUCUCGAGGUCAGUGCCUCUUAUGAUUGCCCUUAAUUCUUUGUUUGGUUCUGUAUUUUGACAUGCAUUUGGCUUAGGAUUCGCCUCGCCUUAAUUCGGUCUGCCUAUUGGAUUUACCAGUACCGCGCUCAUUUUCUUGAGAUCAGUAUUUUAUUAGUUUGUAAUCCGAGUUCGGAUUUAGACUUUUUAUUUCUGUUCCAGCUCCCUCUUGAAGUCAGCAUGGCGCUUUGGCGCUUUGGCGCUUUAGAGCUUUUGGCUGUUGUGCGAGAUCAAAGUCUCUUUACCUUUUGACCCGAGCUUCUUUGGGAGGUCGGAGCUAUGUUCUUAUGAGUUGUUUUUGCGUGUUGUCAUUGUACACUGCUGUUUGCUGUGAGCAUACAGUAUUUUUUAAUAAAAGGUGAAAGAAUAGUUCCCUUCGUCCUCUCGGCUCGGUUUUGUGGCGCCGGGAGAUCUUGGGGAUCUCGGUCUUCUACCUUCCUGAGGUCUCUAUGUCUCAGUGAGGUCUUCUACCUCCCUGAGGUCUCUAUGUCUCAGUGAGGUCUUCUGCCCCCCUGAGGUCUCUAUGUCUUAGGGAGGUCUUCUGAUGCCGGGAGAUCUUGGGGAUCCCGGUCUUCUACCUCCAGGAGGUCUCUAUGUCUCAAGGAGGUCUUCUACUCUUUUUUCUGAAUUUUUCUGCAAAAUAAGAGCUUGCACAGAGCAUAUAUAACGAGAAGGCUCAUUGUUAAUUCAAUAAUAUUCAUUAAUAAAUAAUGUGUCGCACAUGACACAUAGUUUUAUUUUUCAGAUGCGUGCAAGUAUUAGCUCUAACGACAUCAACUCAUGCAAUUUUAGAGAUGCAAUAAACAAUAUUUUGCAAGUGUAAACUUCUCCAAGAUUUUUCAAUUUAUAAAGUACGUGAUCUUUUUCUCAGGAAUGUCUGUGUUAGCAUUAAUAAUAAAAUUUCAUGACAAUAAGCAAUUGUCAAGAUAUCUAAGCUUAGGUGAGUAUAUUUUGAUUAAAUUUAUGAAAUCUUUUGUAUUCAAUCAAUAAUUAAUCAAAGAUAUUUUCCAUUAACUAUAAGGCACUCUUUGAAAUUUAAAUUCUAUUUUGCUUAUUUAUAACUUGAUGGCCAUACUGUGAUCAUGACAAAAUGCCUAGAUUGCCCUUUGAAUGAUGAUACUAAUGGGUCAAUGGCAUUGGACGUAAAUAAAUCAGAAUUAUUCUAGAUGGCAAAUUAUGAUGGUCUUCCUAUUAAUAUAAACAGAAUAAUUAAUUGUUGUUUUUAAUAUUCUCCUUUCGCUAUUGUAAUACCCGGCUAGACUCCGGUAUCGGAAUUCCUACUAUCCGGUGGAAUCUCGGAUGUCGGAAACCUUUAGAAAACCAUGUUUUCAUAAAAUAUUUUAAUGUAUUUUAUGGUUUUAAGCAAGAAAGGAAAUUGAGUUUUGAAUGAAAAAGGCCAAGGAGGCAUUUCCAGGUUCGGCCGCCGAACAUUGGAUGGUUUAGGGGGCAAGUUAGGCUUCCGAAAGUUUCAAAGGUUUGGCCGCCGAACCUCAUGUUCGAUCGCCAAACUUGCAUGAUUUUUGGAGGCACUUUAGGCUGCCAAAAGGUGGUCUGGCAGCCCCUAUAAAAGGGCUCCAUGGCCGAAACAGGCGAGUUUUCUCCCCAUUUUCGGCCACGGUGAGUUCCUGCUCUCCCAUGGUUGAUCUUUGAUUUUUUCCUCCGAUCUUUCACGUUUUAACAAGCUUUAUGUUGUUUUGAAGAUAUUUGAACAAAAGAGCAAGUUUUGAAGCUUGGAGACCAAAGAGUUGAUUUCUCCCCAUCUCCGAGCUAGGAUCGUCUCCCCUCUCGUUCUUCAAGAGGUAAGAGUAGAUCCAUAGUUCAUUUCAUGUUUUAAGCAAGUUUUAUGAAGUUUCUUGGGGUAGAAAUGCAUGUGUAGGUUUAUGAUGAGUUUUUGGUUAAAUGUGUGUUUAUGAGCAAUGUAUGUUGAAUAUGCAUGUUUGAUGUGUGGUAGUUGGGGUUUAGGAUAGUUUGAAGCCCCUAGGAGCUUAUAUGCUUGAAUAUGCAUGUUGUAGAAUAGGAAAAUGCAUGUGUGAAUGAGUUGGGAGGCUUUUGUGCAUGUUGGAGGUGAGUUUCUGCCCUUUGGGAAGAACUCAGGUUCGGCAGCCGAAGGCUCUUUCGAUCGCCGAACUUGCCUGUGGAGGCCAACUUUUGGCUGCCGAACCCUGCCCCCGAAAGUGGACUUUCGGCUCUAGAAGGGAGUUUCGGCCGCCGAAGGUGCCGCCGAACAUGCAUGAGUUUCGUCUCUGGAGGGAACCUUCGGCCGCCGAAAGUACCGCCGAAGGUGCAUGACUUUCGGCUCUGGAGGGCCUUUCGGCUCUGGAGGGCCUUUCGGCCGCCGAACCUGCCGCUGAAAGUGCCCUGUUCAGCCCUCCUUUGCAUGAUUUCUAUGCUUGUUUUAAGGUGUUUUAGGGGGGUUUUUGGGGAGUAUUUUAGAGUCAUGUUUAUAGAUGUUUGGCCCCUCAUUUGAGUCCACCUGUGUAGGUUUGGACCCGAGGAACCGAGGCCCUCAGCAGUGAGAUAGCUAUUUCAGAGUCAUUAGAGCUUCAGCCAGAGGUGAGUAGAAUAAACACUUAUGUUUUAAAGCAAAUAAAUAAAUUUCGAGCAUGAUACAUGCAUCACGUAUGCCAUGAGAUAUACUAGGUUGGUUGCAUUAGAAUUCACGAAUAUGUUGCAUUGCAUAAUAUGUUGUUGAUGUGGAUGGAUAUUGGAUGAUCCAUAGCCCUCAAUCUAUGAUAGGAUGAUAUGAUAUGUACGGUACGGAAUGAAAGACCAGUGGGACCCAUUCUACGUCCGCUGGCACCAUGUAAGAGAAAGACCAGGACCCAUUCUACGUUCUGGCACUAUGGAAUUAUGUAGAGGGCUAAUGGUGACAAGUUCAUCCUUUAUGUGAUAUGUUUGUGAUGUGAUGCAUUUCAUGGAAGCAUGGACUUUAAAUUUAAUGCUUUACUAUUCUACUCACUGGGCUUUAUAGCUCACCCCUCUCCCUUAACCCCCAGAUUUGCAGGUACAGGGUAGACCAGGAGGUCAGCAGGAGUAGAGUCAUGUUAUGUAAUAGCUAGAUGUGGACAUGAAUAUGAUGUAAUAUAAAAGUAUAGUAUAUAAAUGUAAUGUAAUGAUGCUUAUGGAAGUUUAGUUGUGCUUGACCAUAGUAUGUUGUUAAUACCUUUCUAAUACAUGAUCUUAAAUAUUUAAUGAUAAUUAUUGUAAACCAAGCUUAAUAUAUGUUAUGAUUUAUGCAUGCACAGGUUAAGCUUAGUGAAAGUAUGAAUGAAAGUAUGAAUGAAAGAAUGAAUGAAUGAUUAAAUGAGAAAGUUUUAAAUUUUUAUGUAAUUGUUGAUCAUGUAUGGGAUUAAAUAGGUAUGCAGGAUGAAUGUUUGGUUUGCUACGGGUCCCGGAGGCCUUAAGCCGAUCUGGAUCCAAGCGCCGGUAGCGGUCCGGUUUUCGGGUCAUUACAGCUAUAACAGUUGAUGAAUAUCUUAUGCAAUAAAAUUAUAUAUAUAUUAUUUUUUUUUUUAUUUUCAGGAGGUGACAACACCUGUACUUCAAAGGAUGUUGAUAAAUCUAACUAAUAGUUUAUUUUGCAAAUAAAGCUUUUAUUACCUCUUUACUUCUUCCUGGGCAGAUGCAGAUCUGCGUGGCCAUUGGGUCUUCAUUCACAGGAGAGCCCUCUCCGCCUUAACAAUCUCGUGCAUGACCCGCUGAACUUCGGCGACUCGUUCAACUUCAGUGGGCCCAGGCGGCGGCCGCACUCUAAUUUGGCUAGUCUUCAAGUUGGCCAGCAGGUACAUCCCGAUCUCCCCUCGAUCGACUUGGGUAUUUGAUUAUUUCUCGUCAUCUCCCUGUCACACUGAUAGUUGAGGGACGCUGUUGUCCAACCAAGUCGGAUAGUUACGAGUCACGCCCUAGCUGCUUGGCAACAUCAUUUCAUCCGACCUGAAAUCUGAGCCAAACCUCAAGCGCGGCUCCGGCCUCGAUCACAAAUCUAAGCUCGAGCAUGGAUCCGACCUCAACGAGUAAUCUUAUGCUGUGGCCGUCGGAUUUGCCGAGCUCCUCUCUGCCUUGCUACUCCGACCAACCUAACUUGCUAAUUCAAAUCUUGAGGGCGGUCUGGCUAUUCGACCAGGAAUGCGGGAUCGACCUCGAACAUGACUUCGACCUCAGGCGUACAUCUAUCCGACUUCACGAUUUCAAUCCCGAGCUUGAGUCCUUCAACUAUUAAGCAUGAGCUGAUUUAUUCAUGUGGUUCAAUGUCCGGUCGGGUUCGCGAUGUUUACUGGGAAUCUCUUGUUGGUUUGCUGAAGUUGUUCUUUCCAAUUUUGCUUUACCAACUUGUCUAAGCUUUUCCUCCGACCUGUUGGGCGUGGUCUGCUGGAGCCUUCCCACUCAAAAGCUGACCGUUUGGUAGUAUCUGUUUUAAUUCUUGAAAGUUGUGGUUUCUCCAUUUGCAGACGUGUGGUGUUGGCUCCAUCACAUCCACCCAUCUGCACUGACAGGUGGCGUCGUGCCGAUCUCACUUGUUGGAGUUUGACCAUGCUAGCAACCUUUUUUAUUAGCAACUUCUUCACUAGGUCGACACAUCUUUAGCAGCUCGGGCUCUUUCUAACCUUGCUAUUCCAACCCACCGACCUCUCGGUGCUCCGAUCUACGAAUUCUGCCGAAGUCUUCAAUCAAAAUUUGUGCGCGGCAGAGUUUGAGUUUCUUGCUCAAAGCCUUUCAUACUCCUCCUCUCUAACAUGUUAUCUGGGACUUCUCAGCAGAUCUGCCCAUCUAAUCUCUACAAUAUAUGUACUGUUGAUCUCACAGUUUCCACAAAUAUAUACAUCAUUGAUUCUUUUUUCUUUUUACAGAAAAAAUUAAAAUUCUAUACUCAUAUAUAAGUAUUUCGAUCUGAAGUUUCACUUCGUCAGAUCUCAAAGAAAAAGUUAGUAGUAAUAAAAUUCAAUAAAUAUCAAAAUAAACUAUCUAAAAGACUAUCAAAAUAUUCUUGAACUAGCUGGAUCUUUCUUUUCAGCUAGGUUAUUCAGCUGGGUUAUUGUAAAUCUCUAACUUUCUUUUCGCAUAAACUUUCAUACCUUCAUGUGGAUCUCAAUGGGUGGAUUUAGGAACUCCGGUGACGAAAAGAUCUCCUUCGUUCCCACAGACGGCGCCAUUUGAUAAAUCUUUUUUCCUCUGGGCUCCCUGAUGGGUUUGGUUUUCUUCUUAGUCCAUCAUAUGGGUCCAUCAAAUGGGUCUCUCAAUGUUCUAUUUGACGAAGAGGCCUGCAAAAUAGGAAAAAUGAUCAGGGGUCUACCGAGGAUGCCCCCGGUGGAGACCUUCCGACGUUUAAGUCAGAUUUUAUGGAUUGGAGGAGUAUAUUUAGGCAAGAGUUGCCGAGAGAAAAGUAAAAAUGGAGUUUAGGAAGAAGAAGGAAAAAGAGAGAAGAAGAGAGAGAGCCCCUUUCUCUCUACCCAUGAUGUAUACCUGUCCAUCUGCCACAGUGCUAGCUGUCUCUGUUACCCAGCUCCGUACGUACGGAUGUGUUAGGCACCUGCUCCAUGCGUAGCGGCCAUUUAAUUCCCCUCAGUAUGCGUGUAAGCAAGUCUGCUGGAUAUGUGGGCCGGACAUCCCUUCUUUGAACCCGGGCUCAUGGUGGACCCGGCCUCAUAGCGGACCCAGUCUACCCCGCGUCUCCGGAUCGGGGCUUGAGAGGCUGGAUCGAUCUUGCUUAAGGAGGGCUUGAUGGGCUUUGGGCUGUUGUUCUCCUCUUGGGCCCGGUCUUGCUCAGGACAAAGGAAACUCGGCGGUCAUCACCGGCCCUUAAGUGUUUAACACACAAACAGUCCUAAAAUGCUGCAGAAUCGUGCGGCACUCAGUUCAGUCGAACAGAGUCACCGUUACCUGUAGUUUCCAUAUAAAACUAUCCAAGAGUAAUUACCAGCGGAAGCUAAAGAAGGAGAAGGUUGAAAGAAAUAAUAGUGCUAAGAAAGAUGAAAAAAGAAUUGCUUGUAUUAAUUACCAAAAAAUAAUUUACAAGGGUGCUUUACAAGAGUAUCGGCUAGCUCUCUGUUUUAUCCUCUACUCACUCACUGACUAACUAUAAAAUGGAAUAUAAGAUGGGUUUUUAUAGUUUACAUGGAGAUGUUCUAGAAUCUCCUAAAAGAAUAGAAAAAUACAAAUGGAGCCACAGAAAAUAAAAGAUAAUUCCAGAAGAUUGUGGUCCCACCAAACUUUUCCUGAAAUUGCUUCCGUGUCCCCUCCUGCUUUGGCACUAAAGUCUCCCAGCAGCUUCUUGGAAAUUCUGGCUAAGUUCAGCAUUCACCUGGAUAGGCUGCACAUUGAUUUGCUUUCUUGCAUGUCCCACAAACUAGCCUGGUCUAGUUCUUGUCCAGCGCCUAGCUAUGUCGAUUUGGGCGAUUUCCGUCCUAGCAGGCUUUUGGGUUUCUCUAGUCCUGGCGCGCUUCCAGGCUCAGGCUCCCGAGCAUCUCCAGCCUAAAUGCGCUUCCAGCCUCUUGACCAUUUCCAGCCCUGGCUCACUUCCAAGCUGAGUGUCCGGGCAUCCUCUAACCCUGUGAGCAUCCGGGCAUUCCUCCAGCCUUGCGAGCAUCCGGGCAUCUCCACACGGACUUCACUCGCU
This 9450-nucleotide long non-coding RNA is filed under the name Manihot esculenta (cassava). RNAcentral describes it as "long non-coding RNA (MESC_LNC002401)". Lineage: Eukaryota; Viridiplantae; Streptophyta; Magnoliopsida; Malpighiales; Euphorbiaceae. The record is from RNAcentral.